GGAUAUAUAGCUCAGUGGUGGAGCGCGUGCUUAGCAUGAGUGAGGUCCUGGGUUCAAACCCCGGUACCUCCA
This 72-nucleotide transfer RNA is filed under the name Camelus bactrianus (Bactrian camel). It matches the Rfam family "tRNA". From Rfam's summary of the family: Transfer RNA (tRNA) molecules are approximately 80 nucleotides in length. The record is from Rfam by way of RNAcentral. Lineage: Eukaryota; Metazoa; Chordata; Mammalia; Artiodactyla; Camelidae. RNAcentral also lists the same sequence under 2 other names.